This 146-nucleotide unclassified non-coding RNA is filed under the name soil metagenome. RNAcentral's name for it is "partial internal transcribed spacer 1". The record is from RNAcentral.
UAAUAAGUGUUUUAUGGCACUUUUUAAAUCCAUAUCCACCUUGUGUGCAAUGUCAGUCGAUCUUCUUCAUGGAGAUCGACCAAACAUCAACCUUUAUUUUUUAACAUCUCUGUCUGAAAAAUAUUAUGAAUAAACAAUUCAAAAUA